This 818-nucleotide long non-coding RNA is filed under the name Chinchilla lanigera (long-tailed chinchilla). Its description in RNAcentral is "lncRNA (ENSCLAG00000029166.1)". Lineage: Eukaryota; Metazoa; Chordata; Mammalia; Rodentia; Chinchillidae. The record is from RNAcentral.
AUGGCCGAGGCGCAGGAGCAGCGGCUGCAGCUGCAGAAGGACAACCGCGACGGCCGCCUGCGGAAGCAGGAGCUGGAGGAGCUGGUGCGCGGGCUGGAGGCCGAGAGCGAGAGCCUCGCCGGGCGUCUGCACGAACUGCGCGAGCGUGAGCGCAGGUGCGCGGGGAGCAGCGGAGCGGUAGGGCUUUCGGACGGCGACCGAAGACGGUGGGCCGAGUCGCCCGGCCCGCACGCCCGCGGACGAUCCACUCAGCGGGCCCGGGAAGGGAGGGCGGCGCCUGACACAUCCCGGACCGGGCAAGUUCUUCGGCUCCAACCCCGGCCGGCGCUGGUGCUUCCCGGGGGCGACAGCAGCAGCAGGAUCCAGAGCGCCCCGCACCCUCGCCGUAUCACCGGCCCAAGUUUCCCUCCACAGCCUGCAGCGGAGGCGAAGCCAGGCGGCACCGGCCCCACGAGGGGAGGCGCGCGAAGCGGCCCGGGAGCGCGCGGAGAGGACGCAGAGACUGCUGGAGGCUGCGGAACGCCGCAAAUUGGAGCUGGAGCAACGCAACAAGCAACUUCAGGAACAGUGGGAGGAGCUGUCAAGUCAGGUACUGCAAGCUUGGGACGGCCUCUCUCCGGGUUUCUCUCGGAGGCCCCCGCUCUGGUCCCUGUCCCCCAAGCCCCUCCUUAAGAACCCAGCAAGCCCCGCCCUCACAAGCCUCUCCCCCAGCUCUUUUACUACGGCGGGGACCAGCUGAGUCAGCAGCGCGCAGAGCAGCACGUGGGGACCCACCUGGUGGAGCUGCAGGUGCUUGGGCGGGGCCUGAGGGCUGGCCC